UGGGGAAUAUUGCACAAUGGGCGCAAGCCUGAUGCAGCAACGCCGCGUGAGGGACGACGGCCUUCGGGUUGUAAACCUCUUUUGGCAGGGAAGAAGCGAAAGUGACGGUACCUGCAGAACAAGCACCGGCUAACUACGUGCCAGCAGCCGCGGUGAUACGUAGGGUGCAAGCGUUGUCCGGAAUUAUUGGGCGUAAAGAGCUCGUAGGCGGUUUGUCGCGUCUGCUGUGAAAACCCGAGGCUCAACCUCGGGCCUGCAGUGGGUACGGGCAAACUAGAGUGCGGUAGGGGAGAGUGGAAUUCCUGGUGGAGCGGUGGAAUGCGCAGAUAUCAGGAGGAACACCGAUGGCGAAGGCAGAUCUCUGGGCCGUAACUGACGCUGAGGAGCGAAAGCAUGGGGAGCGAACA
Molecule: ribosomal RNA, 407 nt
Filed under: uncultured bacterium
Lineage: Bacteria
Description: bacterial SSU rRNA
Rfam family: Bacterial small subunit ribosomal RNA
Source: RNAcentral